RNAcentral lists this ribosomal RNA (253 nucleotides) under uncultured bacterium. Its description in RNAcentral is "partial 16S ribosomal RNA". It matches the Rfam family "Bacterial small subunit ribosomal RNA", at positions 524 to 776 of the family's 1533-position model. The record is from RNAcentral.
UACGAAGGGGGCUAGCGUUGCUCGGAAUUACUGGGCGUAAAGCGCACGUAGGCGGAUUGUUAAGUCGGGGGUGAAAUCCUGGAGCUCAACUCCAGAACUGCCUCCGAAACUGGCGAUCUUGAGUUCGGGAGAGGUGAGUGGAACUGCGAGUGUAGAGGUGAAAUUCGUAGAUAUCAGGAGGAACACCGAUGGCGAAGGCAGGUCUCUGGGCCACUACUGACGCUGAGAAGCGAAAGCAUGGGGAGCGAACAGG